UGUCGCUGUAUGCGACCAUCCAAAUCCCCAGUAGUCUGAGAGGGGAGCCUUCGGGCGGCUACCAGCCAAUGCUUUAACGAUCUGAGAGAAGCGCCUUCGGGUGAUCGUAAUGUUCUCGUAGCCUGGAAGAGAACGCCUUACGUGGCGGUACAUC
This 154-nucleotide small RNA is filed under the name Escherichia coli. Its description in RNAcentral is "STAXI". It matches the Rfam family "STAXI RNA". Lineage: Bacteria; Pseudomonadati; Pseudomonadota; Gammaproteobacteria; Enterobacterales; Enterobacteriaceae. The record is from RNAcentral.